This 1058-nucleotide ribosomal RNA is filed under the name Pythium graminicola. Its description in RNAcentral is "partial large subunit ribosomal RNA". It matches the Rfam family "Eukaryotic large subunit ribosomal RNA", at positions 151 to 1030 of the family's 3401-position model. Lineage: Eukaryota; Oomycota; Peronosporomycetes; Pythiales; Pythiaceae. The record is from RNAcentral.
UAUGGAGGCGCUGUCAGUGCGAUUGUUCGGGGUAAGUUCCUUGGAAGAGGACAGCAUCGAGGGUGAUACUCCCGUAUGUACCUGUUCAGUUGCGCGUACGACACGUUUUCUUUGAGUCGCGUUGUUUGGGAAUGCAGCGCAAAGUAGGUGGUAAAUUCCAUCUAAAGCUAAAUAUUGGUGCGAGACCGAUAGCGAACAAGUACCGUGAGGGAAAGAUGAAAAGAACUUUGAAAAGAGAGUUAAAGAGUACCUGAAACUGCUGAAAGGGAACCGAAUCGUUUCCAGUGUCUAUAAUCCAUGGCAUAUUUCAUUGGCGCGUGAGUGCGUGCAGCGUUUUGGAAGUGGUUUCCGCUCCGGUCGCUGUUGUGCAUUUGCUUGCUGGUGCCCUGUGCUGUGGUGGGACGUCAGAGUCAGUUUGUAUGUUGCGGGAAAUGGUUAUUAGGGAGGUAGGUCGCUUCGGUGGCUGUUAUAUCCUGGUAACUAGUCGUCGUGGCUGAGACUGAGGUGCCUACAAUGUGCUUUCGAGUCUGCGGGCUUCUCGUGUGGCUGUUUGCUUUGAUAGCUUGCUAUGUUGGUGAAUACGUCGUGCGAUUGAGACCUGUAGUAACUUGUUGCCGUUCGGGACUUUGACGAAAUGGAGCGAUCCGACCCGUCUUGAAACACGGACCAAGGAGUCUAACAUGUGUGCAAGUGUUAGGGUGUGGAAACCCCAGCGCGAAAUGAAAGUAAAGGGCGGCCUAGCUGUCUGAGGUAGGAAACCUUUGUUUACAGGGGUGGCACUAUCGACCGAUCAUGAACCUUCGUGGUGAAAGAUUUGAGUUUGAGCACAUAUGUUGGUACCCGAAAGAUGGUGAACUAUGCCUGAGUAGGGUGAAGCCAGGGGAAACUCUGGUGGAGGCUCGUAGCGAUUCUGACGUGCAAAUCGAUCGUCAAACUUGGGUAUAGGGGCGAAAGACUAAUCGAACCAUCUAGUAGCUGGUUCCCUCCGAAAUUUCCCUCAGGAUAGCAGCAACUUAUUUACGAUAGUUUUAUGAGGUAAAGCGAAUGAUUAGAGGAUU